Molecule: ribosomal RNA, 450 nt
Filed under: uncultured bacterium
Lineage: Bacteria
Description: partial 16S ribosomal RNA
Rfam family: Bacterial small subunit ribosomal RNA
Source: RNAcentral
GCUAAGAAUAUUCCGCAAUGGACGAAAGUCUGACGGAGCGACGCCGCGUGGAUGAAGAAGGCCGAAAGGUUGUAAAGUUCUUUUGUUGGGGAAGAAUAACCAUGGGAGGGAAUGCCCGUGGGAUGACAUGAACCGACGAAUAAGCCCCGGCUAACUACGUGCCAGCAGCCGCGGUAACACGUAGGGGGCGAGCGUUGUUCGGAAUUACUGGGCGUAAAGGGCAUGUAGGCGGUCUUGUAAGCUUGGCGUGAAAGACCACGGAUCAACCGGGGGAUUGCGUUGAGAACUGCGAGGCUUGAGUGACGGAGAGGGAGCUAGAAUUCCUGGUGUAGGGGUGGAAUCGGUAGAGAUCAGGAAGAAUACCAAUGGCGAAGGCAAGCUCCUGGCCGAUGACUGACGCUGAGGUGCGAAAGUGUGGGGAUCAAACAGGAUUAGAAACCCCUGUAGUCC